This is a long non-coding RNA of Pieris rapae (cabbage white), 3647 nucleotides long. RefSeq lists it as uncharacterized. Lineage: Eukaryota; Metazoa; Arthropoda; Insecta; Lepidoptera; Pieridae. The record is from RefSeq and is a predicted model, not a curated record. The transcript has 2 exons.
UUCUGUAUGCACCUUUGAACUGAAGGACAUUUGGAUUAUCAUUAUGCCCUCCAUUCAUUCUUAUCAUGCCGAAGAACAGUUCCAAAUGAUCUUGGCUCAAACGUGAUUACGGAUAAGCUUAAUCAUGUGGCAUGGAUCUAGAAAUACCGCCACUUCGUGAUCUGAUGAAGGGUGCUUAAAGGUGGUUUUCAUAUUUUUUGGAUCUUUCACCCGACAACCUAACAAUUCCAUCGCUGAAAUAUUGGUGGGGUGACCAUCAAAGGUAAGAGAUACAACUUUAAUUCCAGCAUCAUGGCAUUUAGCUAAACAUAUGUUUAUUAAAUUUUUUUUAUGUUUUCCCUCCAAACUGUGAAUUAGGAAAUAUCCCAAAGGGAUUUUCCAACGCUCAUUCAGGCAAACAAGCAUAAAAACAUAAGCCUGUGAGGCUUUUAUACCACUUGUUGUGCCUGUGCCAACAUCUACAUUUCCCAGACCUCCUUUAAUAUUUUGAGGUCUUAUCGCCAUUUCAUCGGCAAUCAGUCCACAUAUUAACGUUUUGUCCGAGCUUUGGGACUUUGAUUUUAAAAGUUUAAAGGAUUCAUUUGUAAAACCCGGUGAUCCAUCGAUGCUGCAAUACCAAUUAUACAACGUUUUUGGGUGUGGAAGACACGUAUCAAAAGUAUUACGAACGUAUGUAUAUGCUCGAGGACUAUGGUAGUGCAAUGUAAGACAGAAUUUUCUGAACUCAGGUGUGUAUUUUGGCAUAGGACGCUUUUUAUCUUUUUUAAUUUUUUUUACCAUGUUAUUGAAUAAAUCGGCUGCAAAAACAUUUUCAGACAAUAAAUUAGACACAUCAUUACUAAUGAAUCUCUUUUUUUGUAGUUCACUUAAAAUUCCUUUGAGCGAUUUAUUCCUCUUUUGGAGACGCCGGGUCUUUUGUUUUAAAGUUUUUAUAACUUUUCUAUGUUUGAGAUUAAGUAAUGUGCUUUUCUUUAACUUUUUUCGAAGGAGGGCCUUACGAGGAGUGUCGAAUAUAUAGUCGAAUUCGUCGUCUGAUGGGCGCCUCACAUUCCCGCGUGACGUACUCUGUAAAAUAAAAGUUCUUAUAAGUUCAUGCCACAAUAUUUACAAAUUCUGGGUGCAACAAGGAAAUGACCAAUUUAAAAAUCUACAGUUAAAUUUUAAAUACCCAAAUUCAACACUUUUGAUUGGAAUUAUUAACGAUUACUUACAGGCUGCGAUGAACUUUCAGUAACUAAAUUUCUAUUUGAAGCUCCACGAACACCUUCCGUUUUGUCUUCAGCAGCAUUUAAACCCUAAAAAAAGUCAGGUAAGUAAGUUUACUACAUAGACAGUUUACUAAAAUUAAAUAGUUAUUAACAACUUCACUGUCUAAAAAACUACCAAACGUCUUUUUCGUUUCUGUAAGGUAAAAUAGCAUUCACACUAGCACUGUAUUAAAUAAAUAUAUUUCAUAAAAAUAGUUGUUUAUAUUUUAUUUUAUGACUCAAAAAUUGGCGUGGCUAAUGGGCGUGGGGAAAAACAUUUAUUUUCCUAAGAGUCACAUGUGACUCAUUUGACAGUCAAGUUGUUUAUAUUAACCAUUACACUCACCGAUAGCCCAUGAACAGGUGAAAUCUCAUCCACAUUAUCUUCUUCAUCCAAUUGAUCAUCUGUGCCUGUGCAUGAAAUAUGUAAAUCCUGAAAAAAGUAAUUUUAUUAUCAUUUGCUUCAUUUAUUUUUAUCAACAUUGUGUCACAAAAUCCCAAAAUACACAUAAUAAGUACUAAAUAAUGCUUUGAUAAUUAUACCUUAACAGGGACAGCAUUUCGACGCAACCUACACGAUCCACCCUGUGUUAUGUACUUAUCUUCAUUCUUAAAAUGUUUUGAACAUAUUCGUGUAUUUUUGGUUGGCUUCCAAUAUACUUCUCCACGACUAAGCCUUAUAUUUUUCACCCACUUGUCAGCAAUAACAGGGUCGAUGGGAAUCCUUUGAACAACAACACGCAAUACUCCUAUAAGUUGUAAUUUUAACAAGUGUGGAAAUAAAGUUCGUUUACUUCUCAACUUUCAAGUAAUACAAUUUCAGGUAUACGAUAUCGCUAAAUCACACAAACACCUACAUUAAACAACAACAACAGUAAGUAACAGUAGCAACUGUUUUAAAAUUAAUUUGUCGGAGCAAUGAAGUCAGUUAAAAUGGGAAAAUAUUUUAACAAUCGGGCAACACUGUGCAUUGAAUUAAAACUUUUCUGUUUUGUUCUAUUUUGACUUAAUUAACUACAAGAUACUAUGAAAUACUGAAAGCUUACCUGUGAAAAGUGAUGUUAUCACAUUUCUUUUGUUUUUCAGAUGUGUUGUGACACAAUUUAACUGCACAAAUCGUCAUAAUAAUUUUUUUUUCGCGAGACACGUUCGCCGUGCGUUGACAUUGAACACUACGGAGCGGCCCGGCGUUUGGAGCCAUUUAUGGCUCCAAUUAAGGUGCUUCAAAAUUGACGCGCGGACUUGGUUUCUAUGUCUUAUUAUUCUAAGGAAUUAAUAUACUGUGGUUGUGUUAUCCGUUUCUUCGGGCAUUCCAAUUAUGAAAGUGUCACGGAUGUGUCUAGUGUUUGCGAUGCGGUACAUGAAUGGCGAAAGUAAAUGAAGUUGACAAACGUUAAACCUUUCGUAACGAUAUGGAUAUUCAAAUAGAAUUUGAUGGACUUUCAAGAAUUUGAUGGCGUUUUCAGAACAGAACGCUUUCUAGAUGUUGUAAACGCUAUUUAGGCACGUUUUUUUUAUAGAACAGGGGGCAAGCGGGCAGUAGAUUCACCUGAUGUUAAGUUAUAAGAUAUAAACAGUUAUGCGAGAACGAUAUUUAUUUAUUAAAGUACACAACAUCAUAUAGGUUACAAUCUAUAUAUAUUCUAAAAUCAGUAAUUCGGUGACUAUGAAUUUUACAAAAAUAUAAAAAUUACACUUCCAAUUUUUUAGAGAUCAGCCUACUACCGAAAAUAUCAUGCGAACGAUAAAGAUAUUGAUGUCGAACUUACUUCAAAUUGCACAGCUUACAUUGAAGAAUGGACGACUGACAUAUUUCGUUAUUAUUUAAAAACUGUAUAGUUAAAAUUGGCACAGGUAUACAUAAUCCACAUAUGUAUAUGGUUAUUAUUACUAUGAUUUAUGUCUUCACACAUCGGCCAGCUCUCAAUACAGAAUGUAGAACAGUCGAUAUGAACUGGCAAGAAACACUACAUUUUCAAUUUAAAUUUGUCAUCAAAGUGUUGUUUAAAUUGCAGCGCCUUGAAACUGAUCCGAUCAUAAUUAAAGCGAAAAUUGUUUGGGUUUAGUAUUGUACAAUGCGUGCCAUUAAUUAAUCCAAUAUGGCGAUAGAACAUUUUCCUUAUUGUAAGAGAAAAUUUAUGUAUGUAUUGAUAAAAUAAUGUUGGUAAUAUUUGUACAGGUUUUUGCAUAUUAAUUCAUAAAACAGUUUGUCACUUUCAUCUCGGCGUAAGUAUAGUUUGUUAAAAAAAGACGAAAGCGUACUAUAACUGCAGGCUGACUAAUUUUUUAAGUAUAAGCUAUAAAUAAAGAUCCAAGAUUUUUGAUAAUUGAUUGUCUAAUAACGCACGUAUUGUUGAUAUAAGCAUGUAAUUGUAUGAAUAAAAACACAUUGAAACUGAA